UGAAUGGUGAAGCCGCGAAAAGCUCAUUACAACAGCCAUAGUUUAUUGGAUGUUUAUGUUCCUACAAGGACACCUGCGGUAAUUCUGGAGCUAAUACUUGCGAAAAACGACGACCUUACGGAAGUCGUGCAUUUGUUAGACUAAACCAAUCGGUCCCUCGGGACCGCCAUUUGGUGAACUCUGAAUAACUUAGCUGAUCGCACAGUCUCGUACUGGCGACAAAUCUUUCAAGUGUCUGCCUUAUCAACUUUCGAUGGUAGUUUACACGACUACCAUGGUUGUAACGGGUAACGGAGAAUAAGGGUUCGACUCCGGAGAGGGAGCCUGAGAAACGGCUACCACAUCCAAGGAAGGCAGCAGGCGCGCAAAUUACCCACUCGCAGAACGCGGAGGUAGUGACGAAAAAUAACGAGGUGGCUCUCUACGAGGUCCAUCAUCGGAAUGGGUACAAUUUAAAUCCUUUAACGAGGAUCUAUUGGAGGGCAAGUCUGGUGCCAGCAGCCGCGGUAAUUCCAGCUCCAAUAGCGUAUACUAAAGUUGUUGCGGUUAAAAAGCUCGUAGUUGGAUCUGCGCUCGGUGAAAGUGGUCGCCCGAUGGGUUGUUACUGCUUCUCCCGGGCUAACCAUUCGGUUUUCCCUUGAUGCUCUUCAUUGAGUGUCCUGGGUGACCGGAACGUUUACUUUGAAAAAAUUAGAGUGCUCAAAGCAGGCGAUUCGCCCGAAUAUUCGUGCAUGGAAUAAUAAAAGAGGUCCUUGUAGCCUUUUAUUGGUUAUCGCUACGAGGAAAUGAUCGAAGGGGACAGACGGGGGCAUUUGU
Molecule: ribosomal RNA, 816 nt
Filed under: Trichodorus sp. n. WB-2020
Lineage: Eukaryota; Metazoa; Nematoda; Enoplea; Triplonchida; Trichodoridae
Description: SSU rRNA
Rfam family: Eukaryotic small subunit ribosomal RNA
Source: RNAcentral